UAUGAAAUUCUGAGUUGAAAAUUCUUUUCUUUAAGAAUGUUGAAUAUUGGCCCCCACUGUCUUCUGGCUUGUAGAGUUUCUGCCGAGAGAUCUGCUGUUAGACUGAUGGGCUUCCCUUUGUGGGUAACCCGACCUUUCUCUCUGGCUGCCCUUAAGAUUUUUUCCUUCAUUUCAACUUUGGUGAAUCUGACAAUUAUGUGUCUUGCAGUUGCUCUUCUCAAGGAGUAUCUUUGUGGCAUUCUCUGUGUUUCCUGAAUUUGAAUGUUGGCCUGCCUUGCUAGGUUGGAGAAGUUCUCCUGGAUGAUAUGCUGCAGAGUGUUUUCCAACUUGGUUCCAUUCUCCCCGUCACUUUCAGGUACACCAAUCAGAUUUAGAUUUGGUCUUUUCACAUAAUCCCAUAUUUCUUGGAGGCUUUGUUCAUUUCUUUUUACUCUUUUUUCUCUACACUUCUCUUCUUCAUUUCAUUCGUUCAAUCUUCAGUUGCUGAUAAUCUUUCUUCCAGUUGAUCGAGUCGGUUACUGAAGCUUGUGCAUUUGUCAUGUAGUUCUCGUGUCAUGGUUUUCAUCUCUAUCCAUUCUUUUAAGGUCUUCUGUGCAUUGAUUAUUCUAGUUAUCCAUUCAUCCAUUCCUUUUUCAAGGUUUUUAGUUUCUUUGUGCUGGUUAUGUAGUUCCUCCUUGAGCUCUGAGAAGUUUGAUCGACUGAAGCCUUCUUCUCUCAACUCAUCAAAGUCAUUCUCCAUCCAGCUUUGUUCCAUUGCUGGCGAUGAGCUGUGUUCCUUUGGAGGGGGAGAUGUGCUCUGAUUUUUGAAUUUCCAGCUUUUCUGCAUUACUUUUUCCCCAUCUUUGUGGUUUUAUCUGCCUUUGGUCUUUGAUGAUGGUGACAUGGGGUUUUGGUGUGGGUGUCCUUUCUGUUUCUUAGUUUUCCUUCUAACAGUCAGGACCCUCAGCUGCAGGUCUGUUGGAGUUUGCUUGAGGUCCACUCCAGACCCUGUUUGCCUGGGUAUCAGCAGCGGAGGCUGCAGAAGAUAGACUAUUGCUGAACAGUGAGUGUUGCUGUCUGAUUUUUGCUCUGGAAGCUUCGUCUCACAGGUGUACCUAGCCAUGUGAGGUGUGAGAUGUCAGUCUGCACCUAUGGGCUCCACCCAAUUUGAGCUUCCUGGUGGCUUUGUUUAUCUACUUAAACCUCAGCAAUGGUGGGUGCCCCUCCCCCAGCCUGGCUGCCACCUUGCAGUUAGAUCUCAGACUGCUGUGCUAGCAAUGAAGGGAGGCUCCAUGGGCGUGGGACCCUCUGGGCCAAGUGUGGCAUAUAAUCUCCUUGUGUGUCGUUUGCUAAGACCCUUGGUAAAGCGCAGUAUUAGGGUGGGAGUUACCCGAUUUUCCAGGUGUUGUGUGUCUCAAUUUCCUUUGGCUAGGAAAAGGAAUUCCCUUCCCCCUUGCACUUUCCAGGUGAGGCGAUGCCUCGCGCUGCUUCAGUUCUCGCUGGUUGGGCUGCACCCUUGAACCAGCACCGACUGUCUGACACGCCCCAGUGAGAUGAACCCGGUACCUCAGUUGAAAAGGCAGAAAUCACCUGUCUUCUGUGUCAUUCAUGCUGGGAGCUGGAGGCUGGAGCUAUUCCUAUUCGGCCAUCUUGGGCACACCCCAGAUUUUCAGGAUCUUGAUAACCUGUUUCAUAACCUUAGGUAGUUGUCAGCUAGGUAGCCUUAAAUUUGCAUAUUAAAGGAAACAACUCAGGUGAAAAUCAAAUAGCAAAAUUUGCAUCAUAAGAUACAGAGAGAAAAAGUCUAGAGGGAGAUUAAAGAUGAAUGCCAAAUCAAACGUAAAAUUAUAAAAAUCUAUCAUAGGAUUGCAUAAGGAGACCAAUUUUAUUUAGAGAUUACCUAUCUAUCUUUUAACCAGAUCUCUGAACCCAGGGCAGAGCCCACACUGAAUCCUGGGUUUCCAAAAAGGGAGAAUUUUUGUGAGGCUAGACCAUGUGAUGAUUUUAUGGUACACUUUAAAAAAUUUUUUUACACAAAGAUAUUUCUAAGUGUUUACACUUUUCUUUAAAAACUGAAGCUAAGCCUCUGUUGCAAUAACUAUUUUAGUCAAUAAAUCAGGUAACAAUACAAAAGCAAGCAGUUUAAAAGCUGAGAUGAACUUGUCUGUUUAUACUCUUGAAGUUCCAUAAGGAGAAACAGGUUUCUCCCUGAAAGGGAGUCUGAUGCCUUCUCCAUUUUCUUUAAGGAACCUCAGGCUAUUAUAAAGUAUUUUUGGUCCCUCAUGAAGCAGAGGGUGAAAGAGAAAGGAGAGACAGCAGAAGUAAAGGAAGAAAACAGAAUCCAGUCAACUGAGAAGAAAAAAUUUUUUUAAAAAGGGUGCUGGGCAUGGUGGCUCAUACCUAUAAUUCCAGCACUUUGAGAGGCCAAGGCAGGUGGAUCAACUGAGGUCAGGAGUUCAAGACCAGCCUGGUUAACAUGGUGAAACCCCAUCUGUACUAAAAAUACAAAAAUUAGCUGGGCAUGGUGGUGUGUGCCUGUAAUCCCAGCUACUUGGGAGACUGAAGCAGGAGAAUCCUUUGAACCCAGGAGGCUGAGGUUGCAGUGAGCCACGAUCACACCACUGUACUCCAGCCUGGACAACAGAGCAAGACUCUGUCUCAAAAAAAAAACAAAAAAAA
This 2658-nucleotide long non-coding RNA is filed under the name Macaca fascicularis (crab-eating macaque). RNAcentral's name for it is "lncRNA (ENSMFAG00000055799.1)". Lineage: Eukaryota; Metazoa; Chordata; Mammalia; Primates; Cercopithecidae. The record is from RNAcentral.